Molecule: long non-coding RNA, 1004 nt
Filed under: Homo sapiens (human)
Lineage: Eukaryota; Metazoa; Chordata; Mammalia; Primates; Hominidae
Description: HSALNT0272022
Source: RNAcentral
AGAAGGAUGACAUUUUCUGGCAACAAGGCAUCUGUAAAGAGAGGCUUGGUGUAAUUCGGCAAAUGAGGCACGACAUAGCACAGCUUAAAGUGCAAGCUAACCAGCAAGCAGCAGCUCAAAAUCUAUGCUUACCUGCAGAUAACAGAGUCAGUUAACAAGCUGACGCAAGAGAAGACAGACCCAUGGUGACAGUGGUCAUUCUCUAGACACCCAGCUCACUGAAGCAAUUGUUCAGGCCAUCCUGCAGAGACAUUACCAAUUCCCAUCUACAAUUUGUUUCAGAUGUCAAGGCAAAUGAUGCCAUAAGCACACACCAAAUACUUGGAAAUAUGGAAAGUUUAUUAUUUACAUACUAAGGCUUUAUGAGGACAGCAGGAGAGGCCUCUCAAGUUGGUCCCAAAUGUCUUGACUAAAAACUUAGAAGUAGACAGGCUUGGGAUUUUUAUUGUUAUAAGGGGGUGGUGCCAGUGCAAGGGCGCUUGCAUACGGACAGAGAAUUGCAUGGUUUAAAAGUUGCAAAGACACCAAAGGAAGUGGCAUCUAGACUUUCUUAUUAGAGUUCCAGAAGUGGAGCAGAAGGGAAAGAGCAAGGUAGUUGUGGGGCUUAAACGUCGUCAGCAGUAAGAUAUUAAAAUUGAAUCAAGGGCUUUUUAUCACCUGAGCUCUGUGUCAGGUCAAGAAAAGACAAGUCCUGCAAAUGGAGAUUUUUUAGGGAGCUGUUGGGCCAAAUAGGGACAAUAGGAGAAGAGCUUUUUGAGGAGAUCCAAACAUGUUCUGCUUCCUUAAGUUGCUUCUAGCCUGCUGGUUUUGACAGCUACCAUGUUUGGGAAGCUGUUGGAGAGGGCAGUGUGCGAAUGUGCAUGGGAAUAAGGAAACUUAAAUACUACAAACCUCACUGUUCCUACUUCCAGUUCCACCAAUUUUCUUUUUUGUGGAAUAAACGUUCCUUGGAUGGUUGUAAGCAUUUGUUUAAUUUCCAGAGUUCUGAAAAACAUUGAUUUUGA